This 434-nucleotide ribosomal RNA is filed under the name uncultured bacterium. RNAcentral's name for it is "bacterial SSU rRNA". It matches the Rfam family "Bacterial small subunit ribosomal RNA", at positions 340 to 786 of the family's 1533-position model. The record is from RNAcentral.
UACGGAAGGCAGCAGUGGGGAAUAUUGGACAAUGGGCGAAAGCCUGAUCCAGCCAUGCCGCAUGAGUGAAGAAGGCCUUCGGGUUGUAAAGCUCUUUUAGUGAGAAAGAUAAUGACGGUACUCACAGAAGAAGUCCUGGCUAACUCCGUGCCAGCAGCCGCGGUAAUACGGAGAGGGCUAGCGUUAUUCGGAAUUAUUGGGCGUAAAGAGCGCGUAGGCUGAUUAGUAAGUUAAAAGUGAAAUCCCAAAGCUUAACUUUGGAAUUGCUUUUUAAAACUGCUAGUCUAGAGAUUUGAAAGAGGAUGGAGGAAUUCCUAGUGUAGAGGUGAAAUUCGUAAAUAUUAGGAGGAACACCAGUGGCGAAGGCGUCUAUCUGGUUCAAAUCUGACGCUGAGGCGCGAAGGGCGUGGGGAGCAAACGAGGGAUUAGAUACC